UACCAGACUCCUACGGGAGGCAGCAGUGGGGAAUAUUGCACAAUGGGGGAAACCCUGAUGCAGCGACGCCGCGUGAGUGAAGAAGUAUUUCGGUAUGUAAAGCUCUAUCAGCAGGAACGAGACAAGACGGUACCUGACUAAGAAGCCCCGGCUAACUACGUGCCAGCAGCCGCGGUAAUACGUAGGGGGCAAGCGUUAUCCGGAAUCACUGGGUGUAAAGGGAGCGUAGACGGCUGUGCAAGCCUGAAGUGAAAGGCGGGGGCCCAACCCCUGGACUGCUUUGGGAACUGUAUGGCUGGAGUGCAGGAGAGGUAAGUGGAAUUCCUAGUGUAGCGGUGAAAUGCGUAGAUAUCGAGAGGAACACUCGUGGCGAAGGCGGGUUCCUGGACAUUAACUGACGCUGAGGCACGAAGGCCAGGGGAGCGAAAGGGAUUAGAUACCCGUGUAC
This 448-nucleotide ribosomal RNA is filed under the name uncultured bacterium. Its description in RNAcentral is "bacterial SSU rRNA". It matches the Rfam family "Bacterial small subunit ribosomal RNA", at positions 329 to 793 of the family's 1533-position model. The record is from RNAcentral.